Punica granatum (pomegranate) is the source of this 510-nucleotide non-coding RNA. The record is from RefSeq and is a predicted model, not a curated record. NCBI's taxonomy places the organism in Eukaryota, Viridiplantae, Streptophyta, Magnoliopsida, Myrtales, Lythraceae.
GGGAGCCGUUGAGUGAGAGGAUACACAACAGAAGCCGACUCGAUGCUCUCCAUCUUCUCCUCCUUCCUGCAUGUUCCCUCUUCUUCCUUGUAGAGUUUGUCUGCAUAGGCAUCGGCCGAAAUCGGCAGGAUUUCUUUGUAAUCGAGAUCCCCGUUCGUCCGUGAAGGCUUGCGUCAAUGGAGCUGGUGCGAAGAACAGUGAAAAGCAUGAGCUUUUCAGGAGUGAUUCACGAAGGACGUCCUGUCUGUCACCGGUUGCCAGAGAUUCUCGACUUUGAUCGCUGUCGGGGGCCCCCUUCAGAUCGCUGUUAUCCACUAGGAUUGGGGUUUAAGAACCACAGGAAGUUGUUGUUUUGGAGAGGCAUCGGCAGUGUGAUCAUUGAUAGGUGCACUAUUAGACCAUUGUUAUUCUGGACCAACCGCAUGCGUCAUGGCUCCUAAAGGCGAAAAUAUCAUCGACUGGAGUGAUGAAAUGGAGUAUACUUUCAUAAACAUAAUGCUUGAGAAGCUG